Molecule: non-coding RNA, 85 nt
Organism: Cajanus cajan (pigeon pea)
Lineage: Eukaryota; Viridiplantae; Streptophyta; Magnoliopsida; Fabales; Fabaceae
Source: Rfam
CCGACCUUAGCUCAGUUGGUAGAGCGGAGGACUGUAGUUAGUAACAGAUAUCCUUAGGUCGCUGGUUCGAAUCCGGCAGGUCGGA